CCGCAGCCGAAAUAGCUGAAUUGCGUAAAAUUUACCAAACAUAUAAAUUAAUUGCACGUUAUAAAGUCUAUAAACACACACAUAUACACACAUACAAAUACUAACAGUACACAUAUAUACUUACAUACAUCAAAAUCUUUAAGGUUCAAAUUAGACUUAUGUUAUGAAAACAAUUCAUAGCAAACCUACUUCUUUAAAUUAUUUGACAUUGCUGAAAUAUAAAACGAUUGGUGUAGUGUUAAAGCGAAAGUAGUUUGGACGGAAGUGUAUAAGGCGUAUUGCUAUUGAAUGGCGUGUGAGAUUGAGAAGAAUUGUUUUGAGAACUUGGUCG
Molecule: non-coding RNA, 331 nt
Organism: Paramuricea clavata
Lineage: Eukaryota; Metazoa; Cnidaria; Anthozoa; Malacalcyonacea; Plexauridae
Source: the annotation of a GenBank genome assembly